UACAGAGACUGCAAGCGUUAUUCGGAUUCACUGGGCGUAAAGGGUGCGCAGGCGGCCGUGUGUGUGAGGCGUGAAAGCCUGGAGCUUAACUCCAGAAUUGCACCUCAAACUACACGGCUAGAGCAUUGGAGAGGGUAGCAGAAUUCACGGUGUAGCAGUGAAAUGCGUAGAUAUCGUGAGGAAUACCAGAGGCGAAGGCGGCUACCUGGACAAUUGCUGACGCUCAGGCACGAAAGCCGUGGGGGAGCAAAAGGAUGA
RNAcentral lists this ribosomal RNA (258 nucleotides) under uncultured bacterium. Its description in RNAcentral is "partial 16S ribosomal RNA". It matches the Rfam family "Bacterial small subunit ribosomal RNA", at positions 524 to 780 of the family's 1533-position model. The record is from RNAcentral.